AUUUGAGAAGCAAAUGCUGUUGAGAAUUAUAGAAUUUUAGAGUUGGAAGAGACAACAAGGGCCAUCCAGUAGUGCAGUAGUAUAUUCAAAGCUUCCUUGUGCACUCUAUUUUCCACUAGAAAUACCAUACUUCUCACAGUAAAAUAUGAACAGAGUUACCAAUACUUUUAAAAAUUAGGAAAUUAAGCAUAUAAAGGGGUAGUACUCAGCCUUACAGAAAUGUCUGGCACUAUCUAUGUAUUUGCAUAAGCAUUACAUGGUAUGCCUGGGGGCUAAACUGGAAGGACAUGGACUACUAUUGACCUGUAUAAAAUCUGAUCCAUGUAUUCAUUAUUUUUAAAAUAAAGGAUAAAGGCAGGACAUUAAAUAAAUAAAUAAAUAAAUAAAUAAAUAAAUACAACAUUGAUAAAUACACCCAGAAACCCAAUGGGAAUGUGCCACUGUCUCUCAGUCACUAUCUGAUAACUCUUUCUCCAUUUUUAUCUAGAAUUUAAUAUUUUAAGACUGCCACUUCUUCAUUCAGGUCUAGAAGUGUGUUUUCCUGGCUAUUACCUCAUGUACAGGAAUGCAGUAUAAAUCUGCACACACCUAUCCUGGAAUAGGUUUCUCUGAAUGAAGAAUGACCUUUCCAAUAUGUGUGCAUAGAUUGUUACUGUUUAUAGGCCCCGCAUCAUAAAUGUUAAUGUCCCUUGUUAACACAUCUAGAUAUCUUCCCAAUACAUAAUCCAGUUAAUGUUGCAUGUGCUUUCAAUACAACAUGUAUGAGAACUUUUAUGAGAUUGGGAUCCAAUCCAGGGAUUGUAAUCUAAUCUUGAAAUUAAGUAAAUACUGAUAUUUAAGCUUAACAUGGUCCUAAAACAUAAAGAACCAGGCACCUCUACAACUAUUUUAUUUAUUUAUUUACCACAUUUGUAUACCACUUUCUCAGCCCGGAGGUGACUCAAGGCGGUUCACAGUUGGCAACAAUUCGAUGCAUUAACAAUUAAAAAAUACAAUUAAAACAAUUAUAAAAUAUAAUUAAAACAUUUAGCAUAUAAUAUAAAAACCAUACAAAUCCAUAAAAACAUAAUCAUCAGCAUCUCCUUGCUACAGCAAAUAUACUUUCUGAAGCUUUUGUGCUGUCGUUUAUCAGUAAAUUUUGCACCCAAAAGGCAAAGCAAUAAAAACAGUACAUUCAAAUAAUCCCAGUCAGAAUUGUAUCUAAAAUAUUUCUUACUUUUCCGAUUCUUGACAUGUUGCAAAGCAAGCAAGCAAAAAAAUGGACAAAAGUUUCACCAUCGGUAGGUAUCUUUGGGACAAGAACAUCUUCUGUCUUGUAAACUGUUCAAGGAAAUGAAAUGAUAGAUACUGAAAUACCAUUGUCCUAUAUUCCAGUGGAAUUACAAGGAAUAUCAUUAAAUCUUAACAGCAAAUUAAACUAAUAUAUUUUUUAAAGAUUAAUCUUUGCCAUCUGAUGUUAAUUGUCAAACACCAAAAAUUACAAAUCCAGCACGUCAAUGUUUAUGGUCAUAAAAUUGCAUUGUAACAUUUAUUUAUUUUAUAAAGAUAACAAAUUAGAUAUAUUUAAAUUUGAAGUAGUAGAACAAAAUCUCAUUUUAAAAACGUUCACAAUCUUCCUCUUAUAAAUAUAUUUUUGUAUUUUUAACCUAGGUUCAGAUACUAUGUGAAAAUCCAUGCCAUAGCAUGUUUCUAUAAAAUGAUAUAACUGCAAAGCAUGUAUUGUGAUUCAGAAAUGCCACUGUUUUUCAAGAAAUGAGCAGGUACAGAUCAUAUACUGAAUUUAAGACACAAAUUGCCAGUUCCAUUUUUCAAAUUCUAUAAUUGCAUAUUUUGUCCUGUAUGGGAUAUAUUUGUUACACAAAAUAAAUACUAAAAGAAAAUAAGCCAAAAGAAUAUUACCCAAAAGGCACUUUUAUGAAGAGUACUUACUAUUUGUCUUUCAAGUAGAGUGUAGUUAAGCUGAUCUGUUGGAGUCCCCUUUGUUGUUAGUGGGACUACAGUGAAACUGUAGUGCUAUAACAGUGUGUGCCUCCCCAACUUCUUUUAUAGUCCACACUAACAAUAGAAGUGAGUGGUGCAUCAAUGUCUGUGACUAAGAUCUUUUUAUUCGUGUAUGAAUGAAAUACGUGCUUCUCCUGAAGACCAUAAAUUUGGAUUCAUAAAGUGUGCUGCCCAGCUGGUGAUUAAGGCACUGGAGCCUCCUUUAUUUGAAAUAUUGCUCACCCUGUUGUCUCCUGUCGUUUUCAUAGGAUUAUAAAAUGGUACAAUAGCAAUGUGGAUCAAUGGUAGGACAAGAGAAUGUGAGACUUUUGCUAUCUGGAUGUUUUAAGAAAGGAUAUGAACUGAAAGGAGGUUGUUAUAACUGUUAUCCAAAAUAAGAGUAUUUUUAAUUACUCAAAUAGUUAAGGAGACAGAAUAUAAUAGAAGAUUCAUAAAAUAAGUGAUGUUUUGAUUACAAUCAGGCCUCCACAUUGCAGGUUUAACUUUUGCAGAUCUUAUUAAUUUUGGAUUUGAUUAAUGUGUUCUUUCUAGAUCAAAGUUUCUCAAACUGUCCUUCCCCAGAUGUUUUGAACUUCAACUCCCACCAUUCCUAACAGCUGGGAAGCUGGAAGAGCACAGUUUGAGAAACACUGCUCUAGAUCCUCCAGGGAAACUAUAUGGUCAAAUUCCAGCAAAUACUGACUAUAAAAUAGAGGGGAUGUUCUCUCACACAAAAAAACAAAGUUUUUUUUUUAUUUGAGGUGGGGAUUUUUAAUCACUUUUGCAGGGGCCCUUCACCUAUAACGCCCAUAAAAGUAGAAGACCUGCUGUAUUUGGACAAAAGCAUUAGCUCAUUUAUACUAGUUUGGAUAUGAGAAAGCAGGUCUGUCGUGGCUCAUCAGGGCUUUCUCCUGCAUUCUACUUUCAGGGCCAUAGCUCAGAUCUUUCUAUGGAAAGUAAUAGCACAGAAGGUAUUUUCUCUGUAGAUGUGCAAAGGAGCAUUCUGUCAAUGAACUAUAUACAGCUCCUAUAUAAUCACAGGCAAAAUUAUGUAAUGUGUUAAUUGCAUAGCAUGAAGCUGGACCUCUACUGUUUUCACUUACAGAUAAAUGUGUGGGCCCUGGUUCAGACUGGAAUCACUACAUAAAAAUGAUGGAUGCUUCAGACUGAGCCACUUACUUUCCAGCCAACAGCAAGUACCUAGUGGAUUGCAAAUAUGUCUUCUGAAUUAAACGUAAGAAAGUCAAAGGAGCAAAAUCACCUACUUCUGGGGAAAUAUGUGUGUGUGUGUGGGGGGGGGGGGGAGCAUAAUGCAUUGGGCCACCAGAAUCACAGGAGUCCAUGACAUAGUUUUGUUUCAUAGCACCUUUCUGGAGGCCUAUUGCCAGUUGUAACAUGAAAUAGAUUUGUUUUUAAUUUUGCCAUACCCCCUUCUCCUGGGGGAAACCUGGGAAUGUAGUAAACCAAUUUAAUACUGUACUUAUGUAGUGAACUCAGAGCAGGAGACCAGAAUGGAAAGGAAUAGAAUGAGGGUAGUAUGACUACUUAGAGAUGGGGAAGCACAGGUUUAGUCAGUUAAGCGUUAAAUUCAGUUAAGCAUUAAAUUCAGUUUACAUUAUUUAUGUUGUUAUACCUGUACUAGGUUGCCUUUGUAUUUCUCAUCUGUUAUAAAUACCUAAAGAAUAAAAAGAACAAGUACUACU
Non-coding RNA from Anolis sagrei ordinatus, 3683 nucleotides. The record is from RefSeq and is a predicted model, not a curated record. NCBI's taxonomy places the organism in Eukaryota, Metazoa, Chordata, Lepidosauria, Squamata, Anolidae.